CCUACGGGUGGCAGCAGUGGGGAAUAUUGGACAAUGGGGGGAACCCUGAUCCAGCGACGCCGCGUGAGUGAAGAAGUAUUUCGGUAUGUAAAGCUCUAUCAGCAGGGAAGAAAGAAAUGACGGUACCUGACUAAGAAGCACCGGCUAACUACGUGCCAGCAGCCGCGGUAAUACGUAGGGGGCAAGCGUUAGCCGGAUUUACUGGGUGUAAAGGGAGCGUCGACGGCGAUGCAAGUCUGAAGUGAAAGGCGGGGGCCCAACCCCCGGACUGCUUUGGAAACUGUAUGGCUGGAGUGCAGGGGAGGUAAGUGGAAUUCUUAGUGUAGCGGUGAAAUGCGUAGAUAUUAGGAGGAACACCAGUGGCGAAGGCGGCUUACUGGACUGUAACUGACGUUGAGGCUCGAAAGCGUGGGGAGCAAACAGGAUUAGAUACCCUUGUAGUC
RNAcentral lists this ribosomal RNA (443 nucleotides) under uncultured bacterium. Its description in RNAcentral is "partial 16S ribosomal RNA". It matches the Rfam family "Bacterial small subunit ribosomal RNA", at positions 338 to 795 of the family's 1533-position model. The record is from RNAcentral.